Molecule: ribosomal RNA, 229 nt
Filed under: uncultured Pseudomonas sp.
Lineage: Bacteria; Pseudomonadati; Pseudomonadota; Gammaproteobacteria; Pseudomonadales; Pseudomonadaceae
Description: partial 16S ribosomal RNA
Rfam family: Bacterial small subunit ribosomal RNA
Source: RNAcentral
AUCUGCCUGGUAGUGGGGGACAACGUUUCGAAAGGAACGCUAAUACCGCAUACGUCCUACGGGAGAAAGCAGGGGACCUUCGGGCCUUGCGCUAUCAGAUGAGCCUAGGUCGGAUUAGCUAGUUGGUGAGGUAAUGGCUCACCAAGGCGACGAUCCGUAACUGGUCUGAGAGGAUGAUCAGUCACACUGAACUGAGACACGGUCCAGACUCCUACGGGAGGCAGCAGGC